Molecule: long non-coding RNA, 2757 nt
Organism: Callithrix jacchus (white-tufted-ear marmoset)
Lineage: Eukaryota; Metazoa; Chordata; Mammalia; Primates; Cebidae
Source: RefSeq, a predicted model, not a curated record
UUGUCUCCAUUGUGAGCUGGGUGGACAGAGGCUUCACAGGGUCUUCAGAAUUCAGAACUUGUUUGAACUGGCUGCCCUGAGACCUAACAUGAACCCUGACCUUGAUCGUUCCAUGUGAUCUAAUUAGAAUCCAGCUGUGGUUCAGCCCCGUGGUGAGAUCGCAACAUCCCUGGCCAGCCAACGGUGGGGACGUGAAAGAAAAAACUCAGGCAAAAUUAAUAUAAUAGAACGUUUAUGUGGGCCAAAUGUGAAGACAGCAACUUAGUAGCAGAGAUUCAAACUGCCCUGAAGAUGUGCUCCACUCAGCAGCGUUGCAAGCAUUGGAACAGUGGAAAGCAAAUCCCCGGCCCAUCUCUGUUUAUUCCAGACGGUUGCGAUUGCAGAGGGACCCUCCAAUAACGUUGGACACUGGAAGCCCAGAGGAGGAAGUAAGCAGAGCCAAGAAGGGUCCUCUGAAGAGAGUAAAACACUUAAAGCAACACCAGAAUUCUCUUGGGAUAUGUGAGGACAACAGCUGCCUGCGUGUGCUGGAGACCUUGGACGAAGUUCCCAAGUCCUAUCCACAGCUACAGGUGUCAGAAGAAAAUAUUACAACACAUCCUGUUUAGAGUUAGAGUCUAGAAUCGGGCAAUACAUCAUCCAUGAAACAAAGAGUGUUUGAUGAGUGGAGCAGAGGAAGUGGCGGACUGAGGAAAGCACAGGGUUCAUUCAUCUGCCUGGAGAGAGUUAAAUGCUGUCCUCUGAAUCUGAGAAAUGCGCAUUUAGGAUUUGCCAAAAGGAAACUAUUUAUUUGGAGACGGGUUCGCUCUGCCUCCUGGGCUGGAGUGCAGUGACGCAGUCACAGCUCACUGCAGCCUUGACCUCCCAGACUUAAGUGAUCCUCCCGCCUCAGCUUCCCUGGUAGCUGGAGCUAGAGGUGUGGACUACCAUGCCGGACUUUUUUAAAUUUUUAGUAGAAACAGUGUCUUGCUGUGUUGCCCAGGCUGAUCUCAAACUCCUGGGCUCAAGCCAUCCUUCCACCUCUGCCUCCCAAAGUGCUGGGAUUACAGGCAUGAGCCAUUUCAUCCUCAGCCUCUGCCCCUGCAUUCUCUCCAGUGCCUGAGCAGAAGGAAAUAUUUAAAGCUCUUGUUUCUAGUCCUUGUAACAACCAUCGUAAGUACUUGCUAUGGAACACAGAUUGUUACGGGGGCAGCCAACGGCUCCCUUGGUUAAGAGUAGAGAAGAUGUACCAUGGAAAAUGGGAUAACUCAUGUAUUAGUCAGCUGCUGUUCCCUAGGAAAAACCUUAGCAUCUUGGGGGCUGGCAGCAAAAAGCUGUCCCUGUCAUGCUCUGCAGGCUGCACCUGAGCUGGGGCUCAGCGGGUCUGGUGCUGGCUUGGCUUCUGUCUUCAUACUGGGGCCCAUGCUGCAGGGGCAGUGCCUGUCCGGGCCAGGUUUUUCUCACUGAGGCUCAGAGGGCACCAGGCUCUCACACGUGCAGGGUUAAGGUCAGAGUGCUUGUCACAUGCGUUAACAUUCUACGGGCCAAGCAAGACCCGUGACCAUGCCCAACAGCAGUGGGGGUCUACUCUGCAUUUUCUGAAGAGAGGUGCUGUAGCCGCGUGGCAGGGGGCGUGGCUACUUCACUUCCGGCGAGGGAGCCAGUGGUCCAUCCAUCCUGCCAUACCUUUCUAAAUCUUGGAAAAACACUGCUGUGACAUGGCACAUGAGCACCCAGGAAGCCUGUGGAUUUUGUGCGGCUGCGGUUGGCUGAACUCCUAUAAUCAAGGCUGACGUGUCUGUCUCCUUUGUUCCAUGGUGGGAUGCCUGGGAAGUUUUGGCUUCUAAGAAGGAGUCCUCCGAGUGCAGGCAGCUCCCUUUCUGGGACCUCUCUUUCUUCUCUGUACAAAUGAACAAGCCAAAGGCCACGGCUUCAGAAAGUCCGUUUUAGGCCUAUAGUUUGUGAUCCAUUGAUCACUGUGUUAUUCCCGAUGAAGAAUUUACCCCCUUCUACCUCCAUUCCCGCCUCUACCCAUUACUGGCAAUGUGGUACCAGACUCACAGCCCUAUCCUGAUGGGGCUGUGCAUGUGUGGGAGGGGGCUUAUGUGAAAACCCAGGAGGAAACUGAAGAAGGGGGUUGGGAAACAGCAGUGACCUCCCCUGUGUUGCUGAUGGAGGUGCAGGCAGAGUGAGGGGUGGGGAACGUGGCUAUCCCUUGUGAGGCAACACGUCUGGGGCAAGUGGAGGGCCCUUCAUCCUCAGCCUCUGCACCUGCAUUCUCUCCAGUGCCCCAGUCUCUGCUGGCUCACACCCCGUUUCUGUGUUCCAAGGAACAGUGCAGGGUGUGGACACUGCUGACACGCAUCCUUAGUAACCAGCCGGCCUGCAGCUUCAUGGUGCUUUGGCUUGGCUGGGAAAUCCAUGUUGGGCUGGGAAGCAUGAGCCUCGACCUCCCAACCAGCUGAGCCCACAGGCCUGUGCCUGCCGGGUGGGGCCGGGUCUCAGUGCGGAGGCAGCACUUUGCUGUAUUUCUAAUUUUUUGUAAAAGAUAAAAAGAUGAUGACAGUAUGUCAGGAGGACACAGAAGGCAGCUUAAAGGAGCUCUCACUGGCCAACUGAGAUAAUUUAAACAUUCAAAUAAACGACAGUAACAGAUUACAACUCAUUGAAUAAAAUAAGUAACCACGAGUCAUAUAGCUCUGUGGAGAAAUAGAUGCCUAACAGAUAGAUGGGCAGACAGACAUAGAUAAAGGAGAAAAGUUCUUCCUUGCAGUAAAA